Amphiprion ocellaris (clown anemonefish) is the source of this 2392-nucleotide long non-coding RNA. NCBI's taxonomy places the organism in Eukaryota, Metazoa, Chordata, Actinopteri, Pomacentridae. The record is from Ensembl.
GUCAGAUCAUAGAUAAUAUAGAAGACAGCGAGCUAGCGUCUCUAGUCUGCUAUAUGUAUCUAUGGUUAGCACGUCUGGUAGCAUCUCUGGCUGCUGUUGACCUUGUUUUUGGAGUAAAACACGGUGGAAGCUGAAUUAGUGAGGAUGACUCCUGCUCCUGUCAUCUCUAAGCUCCUCACACAUCUUUACCUGCACAUGAGGAAAAUCACUCCUGUAGAAUGCAGUGGUUCAUCAGAACCUCUGGGGAUGUCCUGUGGAUUCUGUGGAUCCUGUGGGUUGCAGGGUGGGUCCUACCUAGACCAGGCUGAUCCUGGACCAUCCCACAGAUGCUCAAUCAGAUCUGGAUGUGGGGAGUGUGGAACCCAGAUGUUCAGAGGGAGAUGAUGCCACAUCUGGUCCAGCUGAUGGAAGGUCUUGAAGUUCUCUGACUGGCCUCGACUGAAGAUGGUCGUCUCACUGGAUUUAAGGUUCAGAUGCUCAGUAACAAACUCCACCAAUGAGCCAACAGGGAAGCUUUAGGUUUAUUAAAUGUUGCUAUGAAGGUAUCACUGUUUUUCUUUGUGAAUGCAAUGUGCUCCAACUGAAACUUGAAUUAGAACUUAGAAGUAAAUCCUUCCAUCUGAAAGGAUCUAGUUGCAUUAAUAACCUCAUAACAUUCUAAUUUUUAUUCCAGUCUUGGUUGGAAAUAGAAUCUCUGUAUUGAUUCAGGUAAAAACUGAACUUCACAGCAUGUUGGAGCAAAACAACCAGAUGAAAACUGUGAUGGUGUUGGAUUGUCAGACCGUAAUGUUGCAGCUCAAAGCAGCUUUUCUAUCUCAGUUCAUUCUGACAUUCAGCUAUGAAUCAACACAGCAGAUGGUGAUCCAUGCUGUGGAAGUCUCACAUCUCCUGAUUUAAUGGAGCUGCUUUGCACUUUUUACACUGUUUAUUCACCAACACUUUAUUUAAUAAAAGUCCCAUCUAGUUUUUAUGAGGAAUGUGAUGUUUUAAUUUCUCUGUGAAUAACUGCAGUCUAAUGCAACAGCUGGAGUUGUAACAUCUGUCCUGAUAUUGAUCAUGAAGUAUUGAUCAGAAUACUUAUGGUUAGCAGUCAUCCCUGAAGUUUUACAUUAAAAUCUUUACUUGUGUUGUGAACUUUGGUAAGAAGCAGAAAUGUUAGCGUUGCCAUGGAUACAUGAGUGUUAAAUUCUGUCCAUGUUUCCAUUUUGGGAAAUGCAGUCCAGUUCCAGAAUGUGGAGGAAUUUAGUCUCACAAUCACAGACAACAAAUAUUAUCUGAAAGUCGGGUUAUUGUUGUUUAUCAGCACAAUACAAAAAGAUUAAUGUUAGAAAUAUUCCAGUUAAGACUCUAGAAUAUCAUGAUUUAUGUAAAUUUACCUCAAUAAUAUGAAUGUUCAGGUUAAGAUUGUACAGUGAUAUUUAUUAUGUAAGUUUAGCUGAUUAAAGUUUAUGACUGCACUAAAAUAUUAUUUAAAUUGACAUCAUUAUUAUAAUAUUUAGGGUCAGACCCUACAGUAUUGAGAUUAAGAAAUCAAAUAUUCUAUAAAAUGUAAAUACACUGAACUCAUUUGGAUAUAUUUAAGUGAGACUCUACAAUAUUAUUUGACACAAAUCUAUCUAAAUCAAAAUUUUAAUAAUUUUCACACCAAACAUUUACUGGACUGAUUUAAAUAUUAAAAUCACUCCUUUCUAAUCCUCUGCUGUACGUUCAAACCUGAGGCCUUAAAUAGAAACACACAAGUAUCUGAUUGAAGGAACUUCUGCAGAGUCCUGGUUCCAGAACAUGAUGAUAGAAUUAUAGACAAACUUUAACAAAAGCUGCCUGAGAGUUUACAGGUUUUUAUGUUAGAUUUCUUCAGUAAUUUAAUGAGAGUUAUCAGCAAUAAUCAAGUGUUCAUUUGAUGAACUUCAUUUCCUAAAACAUCCAGAAUUGGAGCUCAUAUCUUUGGCAGCUGUAAAGUUUCUGCUCCUUCAAAGUUCACAACACAAUGAAUGAAUUCCUAAAACACUCUCAAUGCUGGAGAGCGUUUGUGAUGCUGAAGCAGUGAGCAGUUUUUCUGUUUCUUCUCUGGAGAUGCACAAUGAGGGACGUCUGCAGAGACUGAGAAAGAGUCUCACCACAUCCUGACAUGAGGAAAAAGACUUUAUUGAAGACUACAAUGAGAAAAACUAUCAGACAGCAGACGGCUGCAUUCAAGCUGCUGAAUUCAUGGAUGAAUCAUCUGGCACUAGAGAGGAAGACCAUCAAACAUCCACGUCAGCUGAUGGAGGUCCAAGAGUCUCACCAAACAAACAACCUACAGAGUGAAGACCUCCAAUCUGAUUGGACGGCCUCCUAUUCAGCCACAUGUGUGAACAAAUGCCUCUAAGCUGAUUUGUUUUCUAAAAUAAAU